RNAcentral lists this ribosomal RNA (301 nucleotides) under uncultured bacterium. RNAcentral's name for it is "partial 16S ribosomal RNA". It matches the Rfam family "Bacterial small subunit ribosomal RNA", at positions 509 to 809 of the family's 1533-position model. The record is from RNAcentral.
CAGUAGCCGCGGGAAUACGAGGGGGGCAAGCGUUGUUCGGAAUUAUUGGGCGUAAAGGGCGCGUAGGCGGUUUGGCAAGUUUGGUGUGAAAUCUUCGGGCUCAACUCGAAGUCUGCAUCGAAAACUGCCGGGCUUGAGUGUGGGAGAGGUGAGUGGAAUUUCCGGUGUAGCGGUGAAAUGCGUAGAUAUCGGAAGGAACACCUGUGGCGAAAGCGGCUCACUGGACCACAACUGACGCUGAGGCGCGAAAGCUAGGGGAGCAAACAGGAUUAGAUACCCGCGUAGUCCCUGUCUCUUAUAU